This 496-nucleotide ribosomal RNA is filed under the name uncultured bacterium. Its description in RNAcentral is "partial 16S ribosomal RNA". It matches the Rfam family "Bacterial small subunit ribosomal RNA", at positions 28 to 506 of the family's 1533-position model. The record is from RNAcentral.
GAUGAACGCUGGCGGCGUGCCUAAUACAUGCAAGUCGAGCGAACAGACGAGGAGCUUGCUCCUCUGAUGUUAGCGGCGGACGGGUGAGUAACACGUGGAUAACCUACCUAUAAGACUGGGAUAACUUCGGGAAACCGGAGCUAAUACCGGAUAACAUGUUGAACCGAAUGGUUCAACAGUGAAAGACGGUCUUGCUGUCACUUAUAGAUGGAUCCGCGCCGCAUUAGCUAGUUGGUAAGGUAACGGCUUACCAAGGCAACGAUGCGUAGCCGACCUGAGAGGGUGAUCGGCCACACUGGAACUGAGACACGGUCCAGACUCCUACGGGAGGCAGCAGUAGGGAAUCUUCCGCAAUGGGCGAAAGCCUGACGGAGCAACGCCGCGUGAGUGAAGAAGGUCUUCGGAUCGUAAAACUCUGUUAUUAGGGAAGAACAAAUGUGUAAGUAACUAUGCACGUCUUGACGGUACCUAAUCAGAAAGCCACGGCUAACUACGU